Molecule: ribosomal RNA, 950 nt
Filed under: Escherichia coli
Lineage: Bacteria; Pseudomonadati; Pseudomonadota; Gammaproteobacteria; Enterobacterales; Enterobacteriaceae
Description: partial 23S ribosomal RNA
Rfam family: Bacterial large subunit ribosomal RNA
Source: RNAcentral
GCCCCGGUAAACGGCGGCCGUAACUAUAACGGUCCUAAGGUAGCGAAAUUCCUUGUCGGGUAAGUUCCGACCUGCACGAAUGGCGUAAUGAUGGCCAGGCUGUCUCCACCCGAGACUCAGUGAAAUUGAACUCGCUGUGAAGAUGCAGUGUACCCGCGGCAAGACGGAAAGACCCCGUGAACCUUUACUAUAGCUUGACACUGAACAUUGAGCCUUGAUGUGUAGGAUAGGUGGGAGGCUUUGAAGUGUGGACGCCAGUCUGCAUGGAGCCGACCUUGAAAUACCACCCUUUAAUGUUUGAUGUUCUAACGUUGGCCCGUAAUCCGGGUUGCGGACAGUGUCUGGUGGGUAGUUUGACUGGGGCGGUCUCCUCCUAAAGAGUAACGGAGGAGCACGAAGGUUGGCUAAUCCUGGUCGGACAUCAGGAGGUUAGUGCAAUGGCAUAAGCCAGCUUGACUGCGAGCGUGACGGCGCGAGCAGGUGCGAAAGCAGGUCAUAGUGAUCCGGUGGUUCUGAAUGGAAGGGCCAUCGCUCAACGGAUAAAAGGUACUCCGGGGAUAACAGGCUGAUACCGCCCAAGAGUUCAUAUCGACGGCGGUGUUUGGCACCUCGAUGUCGGCUCAUCACAUCCUGGGGCUGAAGUAGGUCCCAAGGGUAUGGCUGUUCGCCAUUUAAAGUGGUACGCGAGCUGGGUUUAGAACGUCGUGAGACAGUUCGGUCCCUAUCUGCCGUGGGCGCUGGAGAACUGAGGGGGGCUGCUCCUAGUACGAGAGGACCGGAGUGGACGCAUCACUGGUGUUCGGGUUGUCAUGCCAAUGGCACUGCCCGGUAGCUAAAUGCGGAAGAGAUAAGUGCUGAAAGCAUCUAAGCACGAAACUUGCCCCGAGAUGAGUUCUCCCUGACUCCUUGAGAGUCCUGAAGGAACGUUGAAGACGACGACGUUGAUAGGC